AGAGUUUGAUCCUGGCUCAGAAUCAACGCUGGCGGCGUGCCUAACACAUGCAAGUCGAACGCGAAAGUGGAGCAAUCCAUGAGUAGAGUGGCAAACGGGUGAGUAACACGUGGGUGACCUGCCUUCGAGUGGGGGAUAACGUCCCGAAAGGGACGCUAAUACCNGCAUAACAUACCGCCUUUUAAGAGGUGGACAUCAAAGCCGGGGACCGCAAGGCCUGACGCUUGAAGAGGGGCCCGCGUCCGAUUAGCUAGUUGGUGGGGUAAUGGCUCACCAAGGCAACGAUCGGUAGCCGGCCUGAGAGGGCGGACGGCCACACUGGGACUGAGACACGGCCCAGACUCCUACGGGAGGCAGCAGUGGGGAAUUGUUCGCAAUGGGCGCAAGCCUGACGACGCAACGCCGCGUGGAGGAUGAAGACCUUCGGGUCGUAAACUCCUUUCGAUCGAGACGAAUGGCCCUUGGGCUAAUCACCAGGGGAAUGACGGUACCGAGAGAAGAAGCCCCGGCUAACUCCGUGCCAGCAGCCGCGGUAAUACGGGGGGGGCAAGCGUUGUUCGGAAUUACUGGGCGUAAAGGGCUCGUAGGCGGCCAACUAAGUCAGACGUGAAAUCCCUCGGCUUAACCGGGGAACUGCGUCUGAUACUGGAUGGCUUGAAUCCGGGAGAGGGAUGCGGAAUUCCAGGUGUAGCGGUGAAAUGCGUAGAUAUCUGGAGGAACACCGGUGGCGAAGGCGGCAUCCUGGACCGGCAUUGACGCUGAGGAGCGAAAGCCAGGGGAGCAAACGGGAUUAGAUACCCCGGUAGUCCUGGCCCUAAACGAUGAAUGCUUGGUGUGGCGGGUAUCGAUCCCUGCCGUGCCGAAGCUAACGCAUUAAGCAUUCCGCCUGGGGAGUACGGUCGCAAGGCUGAAACUCAAAGAAAUUGACGGGGGCCCGCACAAGCGGUGGAGCAUGUGGUUUAAUUCGAAGCAACGCGCAGAACCUUACCCACGUUUGACAUGUCUAGUAUGGGCACCGGAGACGGAGUCCUUCAGUUCGGCUGGCUAGAACACAGGUGCUGCAUGGCUGUCGUCAGCUCGUGUCGUGAGAUGUUGGGUUAAGUCCCGCAACGAGCGCAACCCUCGCCUUUAGUUGCCAUCAUUCAGUUGGGCACUCUAGAGGGACUGCCGGUGAUAAGCCGGAGGAAGGUGGGGAUGACGUCAAGUCCUCAUGGCCCUUACGGGUAGGGCUACACACGUGCUACAAUGGUGGUGACAGUGGGCAGCGACACAGUGAUGUGAUGCUAAUCUCAAAAAGCCAUCUCAGUUCAGAUUGUACUCUGCAACUCGAGUACAUGAAGUUGGAAUCGCUAGUAAUCGUAGAACAGCAUGCUACGGUGAAUACGUUCCCGGGCCUUGUACGCACCGCCCGUCACACCAUGGGAGUUGGUUUUACCUGAAGACGGUGCUCUAACCCGCAAGGGAGGAAGCCGGCCACGGUAAGGUCAGCGACUGGGGUGAAGUCGUAACAAGGUAACCGUA
This 1521-nucleotide ribosomal RNA is filed under the name uncultured bacterium. RNAcentral's name for it is "bacterial SSU rRNA". It matches the Rfam family "Bacterial small subunit ribosomal RNA". The record is from RNAcentral.